RNAcentral lists this ribosomal RNA (253 nucleotides) under uncultured bacterium. Its description in RNAcentral is "partial 16S ribosomal RNA". It matches the Rfam family "Bacterial small subunit ribosomal RNA", at positions 524 to 776 of the family's 1533-position model. The record is from RNAcentral.
UACGUAGGGGGCAAGCGUUGUCCGGAAUCAUUGGGCGUAAAGGGUGCGUAGGCGGCGGGGUAAGUCAGGUGUGAAAUCUCGGGGCUCAACCCCGAAACUGCACUUGAUACUGCCUCGCUUGAGUACUGGAGAGGAGACUGGAAUUUACGGUGUAGCAGUGAAAUGCGUAGAUAUCGUAAGGAAGACCAGUGGCGAAGGCGAGUCUCUGGACAGUUACUGACGCUGAGGCACGAAGGCCAGGGGAGCAAACGGG